Molecule: long non-coding RNA, 3897 nt
Organism: Diabrotica virgifera virgifera (western corn rootworm)
Lineage: Eukaryota; Metazoa; Arthropoda; Insecta; Coleoptera; Chrysomelidae
Exons: 2
Source: RefSeq, a predicted model, not a curated record
GUGGGAUCACGAUCAGUAGAAUGGUAGAAUGCUGACGUCACAAAAAUAAUUCUACAAUCGACAAUUUUGGUAUCACGUUAACACGCUUGGGAAAGUAGAAUCGGUGCUCGGCAAUGUUCGGAUAUUCUACUAGCCAUGUUAAAAAUAUCGCUUCUUCUUCUUAAAAAUAUUGCUGUUUGAUGUGUGGUUGUCUUUAUUUUGUGGUGGUUGUAUUCAAAAAGCUAACCUAAAGAAAGAUUAUAAUUUGUGAUUAUUUUCAAUUUGUAUAUUUUAAUGUUUGAAACUAUUUUAUUAGAAAUCACUAAAUUUUUAAAUUUUACCUGUGACUAGAGAACAUUGUUAUAUUAAGGUAUUUUUAUGUAGGUAUUUUUUCUAUAAAUUCCUGUUACUGUAAAGGAAAAAUAACACAUUAAUAAGUUGUAGGUUCAUAUCAUUAUUAUUAAUAUAUUUUGAUGUUUAUAUUAAAUACCGAUAUAGUUCGACGUUCAGAUGCUUCCUGCUCGGAUACUUGGUCAUAUACAAAGAAAUGAGCAAUUAAGAAAUGAAAUAAAUAGGUAUAAUAUAGAGGAGAAUAAUGAGAAGGGAAAGUGAUGCAUUUACUUUAGGAGUUUGUAGAUCUAUUUAUAUCAACAACAGACAUAGUGAACUAUUUAAUUAUUAAUUAUUAUUAAUAUAUUUUGAUGUUUAUAUUAAAUACUGAUAUAGUUCGACGUUUAGAUGCUUCCUGCUCAUAUACAAAGAAAUGAGCAAUUAAGAAACGAAAUAAAUAGGUAUAAUAUAGAGGAGAAUAAUGAGAAGGGAAAGUGAUGCAUUUACUUUAGGAGUUUGUAGAUUUAUUUAUAUUAACAACAGACAUGGUGAACUAUUUUUUUGAGAGGCUCAGUACCUCAUAAUAUGUGAUAAUCCGUUCAUCCAAGCAGUGUUGAGCCUUCACUGUAAAUUUUUACCUCACUUAUUUUUAUGCAAUAAGUUCCUAUCAAAGAGUAGUCGGUCAGAGCUAUCAGUUAUUUUUCGUCCGCUAUAACUUUUCCCACGUGUAGCGAUUCAUUUUCAAACAAAUUAAGUCAAAACAUAAAGUGAAAUGAACGUUGAUGUGUAUAUACAUUUUGUAUACUAAUAUACUAAACACAUCGGCGUACGUUUCACUUUAUGCCUAUAUAUAACUACUAUAUCAAUUGCCUAAAAUACUGUUAGCAACUGUUUAAAUGAUGUAACAAAUUUAACAAUUGAACAUCUAAGUGAAGAGUCGAUUAUCUUUCCUACUACAUUCGUUCAAAAAGAGAAUUUUAAAAGAAAAUUUAUGCAGAAGUUUAACUUUCCUGGCUGUGUAGGGGCCAUAGUUUGCACACAUGUUGCUAUAAUUGCUCCAACGGAACGGGAACAUAACUAUCUUAAUAGAAAAGUUAUCUUUCUAAAAAUGUAGAAAUUGUAACACUCGUUAUACAGGGUGUCCCGAAAAGAUUGGUCAUAAAUUAUACCACACAUUCUGGGGCCAAAAAUAGUUCGAUUUAACCUAACUUACCUUAGUACAAAUGUGCUCAUAAAAAAAGUUACAGCCCUUUGAAGUUACAAAAUGAAAAUCGAUUUUUUUCAAUAUAUCGAAAACUAUUACAGAUUUUUUAUUGAAAAUGGAUGUGUAUCACUCUUAUGACAGGAACAUCUUAAAACAAAAUUAUAGUGAAAUUUGUCCACCCCAUAAAAAUUUUAUGGGGGUUUUGUUCCCUUUAACCCCCCCAAACUUUUGUGUACGUUUCAAAUAAUUCAUUGUUGUGGUACCAUUAGUUAAACACAACGUUUUUAAAACUUUUUUGCCUCUUGGUAUUUUUUCGAUAAGACAGUUUUCAUCGAGAUGCGGCUUCUUUUAUAAUAUGUUUACAUAAAAAUUUUAUGGGGGUUUUGUUCCUUUAAACCCCCCAAAUGUUUGUGCACGUUACAAUUAAGCUAUUAUUAUGGUACCAUUAGUUAAACACAGUGUUUUUAAAACUUUUUUGCCUCUUAGUCUUUUUUUGAUAAGUCACCUUUUAUCGAGAUGUGGCUUCUUUUUCAAAAUAUACCUAAAAAUGUAAAUUAUAAAUAAAUUUUCAAAUUAUUAACAGGACUGUAUAAUCGUACUUAACCAUAUACAAAUAUGUGGUGGAUUCGACAAAUAUUUAAAAUAUCUCAAUAAACACUGGCUUAUCGAAAAAUGACUAAGAGUCAAAAAAGUUUUAAAAACAUUGUGUUUAACUAAUGGUGCCACAAUAAUAAUUUAAUUGGAACGUACACAAAAGUUUGGGGGGGUUUAAGGGAACAAAACCCCCACAAAAUUUUAAUGGGGUGCACAAAUUUCAUUUUAUUUUUUUUUUAAGAUGAUGCUGCCAUAAUAAUGCCACAUGUUUAUUUCCAAUAAAAAAUGUCUAAUAGUUUUCGAUAUAUGAAAAAAAAUCGAUUUUAAUUUUAUAACUUUAAAGGGCUGUAACUUUUUUUGUGUGCACUAUUGUAUAUAGGUAAGUGAGGUUAAAUCAACUUAUUUUUGACCCUAGAAUCUGUGGUAUAAUUUAUGACCAAUCUUUUCGGGACACCCUGUAUAACACUACUUGUAAUAUUAUAUUAUGUACUAUAUGCUGCCAAUAAUCAAUUUAUAAAAAUAAUGUAUUAUCACAUAAUAUAUUAUAUUGCAAAUAUCACAAAAAUUUGUAGUAUUUGUUGAUAUUUGUGUUGAAAAAACUUUGACUAACAAAAUAAAGAAUAAGUAAAAAAUUACAAUCUUUUAGGCAUGUGAUCCAGACUUAAAAAUUUUAAACAUCGAUGCUAGAUGGGGAGGUGCAACACAUGAUGUGGAGAAACUCAAAUGUAAAACUUUUUUGCAGCAGAUCGUUUAAAAUAGAGAUCAAAGCAUUUUCCAUUUCUAUUCUGGCAAAGAUUACUUUCACUUCUUAGUUAUCUUUGCUGGACAGUGAAGCUUUAUAUCUUAUUAUGAAGUAUUUUGAACAUAAAACUUUUGUUUUAUGGAUGCAUUGAUCAAAUAUCUUAAAGAAAUGUUUAUUUAAAGUUUCAUAAUAAUUUUUAUAAGUAGUUUAAUAUUAUUACUUAUUUUUGCACUAGAAAUAAUAAUUUUAAAGCUUCAUUGACUAAUGGCCAGUUUCACCAAAGACGAAUAGUAGUUUAUUCGAUGAAUAAAAUUAUUCAACUGAUAAAACUGACACAACUAUGUUUCUCUAACGUCAAAUAGUACUUAUUUUAUUUAUUCAUCAAAUAAAUAUUUACUCUUCAAAUGAAUUGACAAGUUAAUCUCACUUUAAAUAUCUAUAUAAAGAAAAUUUGUCAAUUUAAUUUUAAGAUUAAUUAUUUAUAUGGGAAAUAAGCCACAAUUAAAAUGAAAAAAAUAAUUUUAUUAACAUUUCGACGCCCAAAUCGGGUGCCGUUGUCAAAAUACAAAAUAUUACAGUAAUAUUUUGUAUUUUGACAACGGCACCCGAUUUGGGCGUCGAAACGUUAAUAAAAUUAUUUUUUUCAUUUUAAUUGUGGCUUAUUUCCCAUAUAAAUAAUUAAUCAUAAAAAUGCCACAAGGAAAUAGCUUCAGAACAACAUUUAAUUUCAAAUUAUCAAACUAUUCACUGAUUUAUUUGUUGUUAAUGAAACUGGCCAUAGAGAGUAAAAUUGCAUUAUUUUUCAAUUUACAUAAAUUUGUGGUUUAUUUGUGAUUUAUUCUUUGUUCUUAUUUUAGUCUUGGUAUGAAACAAUGUUAAGACAAUACUGUGUGCUUUUUCAGUCCUAUGAAAGAAAAUGUUUUGGAUGUAACAGAGAAGUACUACAACUUUGUUAUGAAGAUUUGUCUUUAUGUUAUUUUUAUAAUGUUCAUGGAUUAUAUUUGUUUUUAUGUUUUCUUCAGUUUAAAUAAAGUUUAUGUUUUACCCA